GAAAUGCGAUAAGUAAUGUGAAUUGCAGAAUUCAGUGAAUCAUCGAAUCUUUGAACGCACCUUGCGCUCCUUGGUAUUCCGAGGAGCAUGCCUGUUUGAGUGUCAUGGAAUUCUCAACUCUAUUUGCUUUUGUUAAUAGAGCUUGGAUUUGGAGGUUUAUUGCUGGUACUUGUGAUCGGCUCCUCUUGAAUGCAUUAGCUCGAACCUUUGCGGAUCAGCUAUCGGUGUGAUAAUUGUCUACGCCGUUGCAGUGAAGCAUAUCAAUGGGCUCGGCUUCCAAUCGUCCUUUACUGGACAAUGACUUUGACCUUUGACCUCAAAUCAGGUAGGAUUACCCGCUGAUCUUAAGC
This 350-nucleotide unclassified non-coding RNA is filed under the name plant metagenome. RNAcentral's name for it is "partial contains 5.8S ribosomal RNA, internal transcribed spacer 2, and large subunit ribosomal RNA". The stretch from base 1 to 105 matches the Rfam family "5.8S ribosomal RNA", at positions 50 to 154 of the family's 154-position model. The record is from RNAcentral.